UACAGAGGUCCCAAGCGUUGUUCGGAUUCAUUGGGCGUAAAGGGUGCGUAGGUGGCGCCGUAAGUCAGGUGUGAAAUCUCGGGGCUUAACUCCGAAACUGCAUUUGAUACUGCGGUGCUUGAGGACUGGAGAGGAGACUGGAAUUUACGGUGUAGCAGUGAAAUGCGUAGAGAUCGUAAGGAAGACCAGUGGCGAAGGCGGGUCUCUGGACAGUUCCUGACACUGAGGCACGAAGGCCAAGGGAGCAAACGGG
RNAcentral lists this ribosomal RNA (253 nucleotides) under uncultured bacterium. RNAcentral describes it as "partial 16S ribosomal RNA". It matches the Rfam family "Bacterial small subunit ribosomal RNA", at positions 524 to 776 of the family's 1533-position model. The record is from RNAcentral.